AUGGCAAUCACUGAUGAUCCGAAGAAAGAGGCAUCAACUUGGUCCAUUUUUAAUUGGAAUAACAAAGCAGAGCCGGAGGUCGAGCAACCGAGAAUGAGAAGCACCCAAGAGAUCCUCACAAAAUAUAAAUUCAACGGGGAUGCUGCCGCGGCAGCGGCGCACGCAAAGGAUAAGCUCAUGGAGCGGCAGGAGAAACUCGCGAAAAUGGUCGAAGAAUCCGCAGAGUUUGAGAGCGAGGCGGAAAACUUUGCCACCCUCGGUCAGCAGAUCAGGAAAUCCCUGGAGACCAAGAGAUGGUGGUGGCCAUCGUGA
This 312-nucleotide ribosomal RNA is filed under the name Triticum aestivum (bread wheat). RNAcentral's name for it is "partial small subunit ribosomal RNA". Lineage: Eukaryota; Viridiplantae; Streptophyta; Magnoliopsida; Poales; Poaceae. The record is from RNAcentral.